This 275-nucleotide transfer-messenger RNA is filed under the name Duncaniella sp. Its description in RNAcentral is "partial transfer-messenger RNA". It matches the Rfam family "transfer-messenger RNA", at positions 1 to 231 of the family's 374-position model. Rfam says of the family: Bacterial tmRNA, also known as 10Sa RNA or SsrA, is named for its dual tRNA and mRNA-like properties. Its role is to liberate the mRNA from a stalled ribosome. The record is from RNAcentral. Lineage: Bacteria; Pseudomonadati; Bacteroidota; Bacteroidia; Bacteroidales; Muribaculaceae.
GGGGCUGACCGGUAUUGACAGCGUGUAGAGGUGGUGAGUAAGCAUGCAGAGCAAUGAUGGCUACGCUCUUAAAUCAGGGACAUCAAAAUUUCAAAUGGCGAAAACAACUACGCUCUCGCUGCUUAAUCGAAGUACAGUAGAUUAACUUUAUUUCCGCAACAGUUGCGGAAACGAGACAUCACCCGGUUGUCCUUUUUCCGAGACUAAUCGACAAGGUGGUGCAGUUAAAUCGGGAAUAUAGCACUGAAAGCCUCGCGAAGUGCCGAAACCUUAGA